Fukomys damarensis (Damara mole-rat) is the source of this 1578-nucleotide long non-coding RNA. The record is from Ensembl. Lineage: Eukaryota; Metazoa; Chordata; Mammalia; Rodentia; Bathyergidae.
AUGUCUACGACCGCCUGUGUUCAGCGUGCUCGGAAGGAGCUCAACUUACCCAUCUUCUCCCAAGGGUUCUGCCAGCCUGAGACUCUGGAGCAUGAUGACAGUGCCAGUGUGGCUCCUGCCUUUGAUCCCGAGCCGGUCACCGCCCACUGCUUCAAGCAGUUCAAGCAGGAGGACUUCUGCCUGCUGCAGAGCCGCCGGCGGGUCCUCAUCGUGCCUGCCCAGCAGGGGCAGCCAGCCAUGGAUCCCAAGCCCCGGCCUCCACCACUCCCACCAUGGGCCCCCAGUGUCAGAGUCCUGGGUGCUGGGGACAUCCCCGAGCAGAGGGAGGACAGGGCGUCCUGGCUGCACCAGAGGGCAAAGCUGCGGAAGGAGCUGGAGGCCCUGGGGGACAUGACGCGGUGGCUGGAGAACAAGCCCAGCAUCACCCCCUCGGAGGCCAAGAUCCUGCGCAUGCUCCACGAGGAGCAGAAGGCCCAGCUCAUGGGGGAGGUGACCAUCACCACAGCCACCAAGAAAAGAGCCCCCCGACGAGUGGUGCCCCAGCUACGGCUGCCCAAGCCACCGGCCCUGUCAGCCCUGUACACCUACCUGCGCAGCCGCAAGAUCCAGGUGCUGGAGCUGUUUGCCAAGGGCCUGGGCACACAGCAGAGAGUCCCCCGGGAGGAGUUCCUCACUGCGCUGAGGAUGGUUGGGGUCCCCCUGAAGGAGCAGGAGAUGGAGGACGUGGUGAUCUACCUGAGCUCCCUCGGGAAGCACCGCGACAUCACCAUGGAGACCCUGGCCAGUACCUACAAGCAGUGGUCUCUGGCCCAGCUGAGGAGCACGACGGUGCCCACGCUGCACAAGUGCUUUGGCCCGGCCCAGGUCACGACAACCCCGCAGCCCUGCAGGAAGCACCUGCUCAUGGUGCCCGAGGUCCCUGUGCCUACGGAGGCGCGGCCCCUGACGCUGGAGGAGAUGGAGGAUGUGGGCAAGCACUACCGCGAGCGCAGGCGGCAGCAGAAGAAAAAUCAUGCUGGUCAUUGUGGCCCAUGCCUGUAAUCUCAGCACUUCCGAGUCUGAGUCAGGUGGAUUGCUGUGAGCUGGAGGCCAGCCUGAAGUACGGAGCAAGACCAUACCUCAAAAAACCAAAAUAAAAUAAAACAGCCAGUUGUGGUACCAUGUAUCUGUGAUUCCAGCUACUUGAGAGGCUGAGGCAGGAGGAUCUUAGUGAUUGUCUGAAAUGCAAAAACAGAAAAGCCUAGGGUAUAGCUCUGUGGGAGAGAGCCUGGGAUUCCAUCCCCAGCACCACAAAAAAGGGGAAGAAGGAGGGGAGGCAGCAAAGGCCCAGGAGACCUCAGCAGCCCCUGCCCGUGUCUCUUCAGCUCCCCAUCCCCUCCAUCCAGUACACAGAGAGCUGCCGCAUGGUGCGCAGUGGGGACCAGCGCGUGGACCAGCACUGCCUGCCAUCCACAGUGGUGGGUGAGAGCCGGGAGCUGCUGGAUGCAGCCCGCAUGGAUGGCUUCCUGCUCUACAUGCGCUGUGGGCAGCAGUGUGUGGCCCCAGGCCUGCCAGUGACCAAGGAUGUCCUCACCCGUG